Molecule: long non-coding RNA, 1639 nt
Organism: Zeugodacus cucurbitae (melon fly)
Lineage: Eukaryota; Metazoa; Arthropoda; Insecta; Diptera; Tephritidae
Exons: 2
Source: RefSeq, a predicted model, not a curated record
UGUGGAAAACCAACUGAAAAACAUUUCUUAAGUAGAAAAUAUCAUUUAAUUCUGACAGACUGAAUGAAAGAGCUAAAAUGAUAAGGCAUUACGAGCAAAGGCCUAGUAAAUUUAUCGUUUUUUGGAUAGAUAAUGUUAUCAGUUUGCGCAUAUAUUAUAUGUAAGAAGAUAAAAGUUGCGAAGUAAAAGUCAUGCAAAAGAAUACAAUUAAAAUAAAUAAGUAAUGUGGCUUAAAGCCGACUCUCUUAUCGACUACCAAAGCAAGUAAUAAAAUUGUUGAUUAUAUCUUAUUCUUACAUAUACAUAUGUAUAUGUACGUACAUAUAUUUUUAAGUACUUGACAACGCAACGCCUACAGAUAAGAAUAUGAAAUUAUCAGCAGUUUACCAAAUAAUAAAACAAAUAAAAUUGCUACUUGGAUAUUCUCUUCGUCAUGGUAUUAAGGAUGUUUAACAUUUUGUUUUUACAAAAACGUGAAUAUUGCACAUUGAAGUAGGCUCUUUGAAUCGGUAGAAAUAUUCAUACAUAAGUACUAAAUGUGAAUGUGAUAAUCAAUGCUCAACGAAAUAUACAUAUGUAUAAGAAACACACUGCAAGUAAAUGAAUAAUAAACAUGGGACGAGAGACUGUGCGAAGCAGAGGAGGUGGGCACAAAAAUGCUGCGCAUUUAUGUGAUAAGUAGGUAUGAAACGAAGAAAUACUACAUCACACAUGCUGUUUUGGGGGAUUAAGGUAAUGAGUUGCAAUUGAGCUUCAUUAUUUUGGAAAAAUGGCGCUUAUAUUGCUAUUACAGGUCGUAUAGAUUAUAUUAAUUUCACUUCUGUGUGUAUAUAUUUGCAUUGUAUAUUACAGUUACAUGUGGGGUUAUUCAAAGCCUAUUGAGGUGAGUCUAAUUCCUAGACUUGUCAACUGAGCAGUUGACUUCAGGGAUUUAGGAUUAUUAUAACUUUUUUAAAUCAAUACAUAAUUUUACAUAUGCAAUUCUAUUUAUAUAUUGUUUUAUAAAAAUAUUUACUUCUAAUACUACAUUUUGCUGACUGUGCUAUCCUUAUUAGAGUUCGUAAAAUCUCCGAGCAGCAAUUUCGCGCCUCAAGUGAAAAAUAUGGGGAUGAAUAAUUUUGAUAUACACGUGCUACUGACAGCUAAUCAUAAUAAAAACAUAUACCGCUUUGACUUUUUUAUCUUACGAACGUUUUAGAAUUUGAUCCUUACUAAGUAUACUUGUCAUCUAACUUUUAAAUGCAAAAUGGAAUGAAUAAGUGAAUUUCUGAGACAAUAUCAGCACAACAAUAUUUAAAUGUGUUGCCAUCCGGCAGCGAACAAUCGGUGCGUUUUUAAAAACAACAAUAACAAAACGCUUACUCACCUGACUGUCGUGAUAUAUAUGUAUGUAUUCGCGUUCGCAGUUUGGACGUGUAGCCCAAAUGGCACUCCAGAAAUCGGUCUUGGCGCAAAAUGCGCUGUUUAUACUGAACUCCGAAUCCAAAUGUUCCGUUUCCCCUACUAGAUCACCAGUAAAUAUACAGGAUGACCAAAGAAACACGAUGACACGAUGAUGUAUUAAGUUUUUUCUCCACCACUAUUAUUGUUACUGCGUGAUUCACUAUUACAAAUAUCCCACUUAAUCGUACAAUAAGAA